AAAAAAAGUGGUGGGGGGAGGGGGGAACCUACUGCAUAGAAAAUGGUGCCUAAAAAGUAGCCAUUCAUCAACUUAAUAUUAGUGUCUUUUUGUAUAUAAAUCAUUGUGCAUAUUCAAGAUUACAUUGUAUUUACAAUACGUUGGAUUCAGCUACAACUAUGCUCUUGUAAUGGACUAAACACUUGUAAAUUUGCAUACCACAGCACCAUAUAAAAGCAAUAAUUGAUAGAAAAUGAACAUGUUUCCAAUCUAAAUUUGUCCGUUUUGGAACAGAACUGCACAGAUGAACACUUAGUCUGUGCUAGCCUGCUAGGAACUUUAGCCUUCAGCAAUAAAUAAUCUAUAAAGCCAACCUAAAACCUAGCUGCAGAACAUAGAAUUGUCCAAAGGAAGAAACUAUAAAGAACUCAAGAAGACAAGGGCACAAUACAAAAUUGUGCAUUGCUAUAUAAGCACUUUGUUAACAGCUGAGCAGUCAAUAAAUUAGAGCAAUUACCAAAAACUCUUAACUUAGCUAGACCUUUGUCUCUGCUAAUUCGGGUCACUGCCCCAGAUAGAGCUAGAAGGUCUAGCUGAGAGCAAGCCAUUAACAAUACAAGGAUGCGGCAGUGACUAUCCAGAUCCAAAACUGAUAGCCAGUGUAGGUUUUUUCGUUAAAUUUGGUAUGUAAUCUAAGCUCUAAAUACUCAAUUACCAGCUCAAUUCGCUCUCAAAAUGAAAUCAACUGGCUGAACCAGCGGCCAUAUCCUAAAAUCAAAGUUUUAUGCGCCACCAACAGAUUGACAAAAAAAACCGCAAAAAAAAAAA
This 807-nucleotide unclassified non-coding RNA is filed under the name Hevea brasiliensis (rubber tree). Lineage: Eukaryota; Viridiplantae; Streptophyta; Magnoliopsida; Malpighiales; Euphorbiaceae. The record is from RNAcentral.